GACGAACGCUGGCGGCGUGCCUAAUACAUGCAAGUCGAACGCUGAAGAGAGGAGCUUGCUCUUCUUGGAUGAGUUGCGAACGGGUGAGUAACGCGUAGGUAACCUGCCUUGUAGCGGGGGAUAACUAUUGGAAACGAUAGCUAAUACCGCAUGACAAUGGAUGACACAUGUCAUUUAUUUGAAAGGGGCAAUUGCUCCACUACAAGAUGGACCUGCGUUGUAUUAGCUAGUAGGUGAGGUAAUGGCUCACCUAGGCGACGAUACAUAGCCGACCUGAGAGGGUGAUCGGCCACACUGGGACUGAGACACGGCCCAGACUCCUACGGGAGGCAGCAGUAGGGAAUCUUCGGCAAUGGGGGCAACCCUGACCGAGCAACGCCGCGUGAGUGAAGAAGGUUUUCGGAUCGUAAAGCUCUGUUGUAAGUCAAGAACGGGUGUGAGAGUGGAAAGUUCACACUGUGACGGUAGCUUACCAGAAAGGGACGGCUAACUACGUG
RNAcentral lists this ribosomal RNA (497 nucleotides) under uncultured bacterium. Its description in RNAcentral is "partial 16S ribosomal RNA". It matches the Rfam family "Bacterial small subunit ribosomal RNA", at positions 28 to 507 of the family's 1533-position model. The record is from RNAcentral.